UUUCCAAUAGCGGAGGAAAAGAAACCAACAGGGAUUGCCUUAGUAGCGGCGAGUGAAGCGGCAAAAGCUCAAAUUUGAAAUCUGGCACCUUCGGUGUCCGAGUUGUAAUUUGAAGAUUGUAACCUUGGGGUUGGCUCUUGUCUAUGUUUCUUGGAACAGGACGUCACAGAGGGUGAGAAUCCCGUGCGAUGAGAUGCCCAAUCCUAUGUAAGGUGCUUUCGAAGAGUCGAGUUGUUUGGGAAUGCAGCUCUAAGUGGGUGGUAAAUUCCAUCUAAAGCUAAAUAUUGGCGAGAGACCGAUAGCGAACAAGUACAGUGAUGGAAAGAUGAAAAGAACUUUGAAAAGAGAGUGAAAAAGUACGUGAAAUUGUUGAAAGGGAAGGGUUUGAGAUCAGACUCGAUAUUUUGUGAGCCUUGCCUUCGUGGCGGGGUGACCCGCAGCUUAUCGGGCCAGCAUCGGUUUGGGCGGUAGGAUAAUGGCGUAGGAAUGUGACUUUGCUUCGGUGAAGUGUUAUAGCCUGCGUUGAUGCUGCCUGCCUAGACCGAGGACUGCGAUUUUAUCAAGGAUGCUGGCAUAAUGAUCCCAAACCGCCCGUCUUGAACAACCGGACC
Molecule: ribosomal RNA, 611 nt
Filed under: Meyerozyma caribbica
Lineage: Eukaryota; Fungi; Ascomycota; Pichiomycetes; Serinales; Debaryomycetaceae
Description: partial large subunit ribosomal RNA
Rfam family: Eukaryotic large subunit ribosomal RNA
Source: RNAcentral